AGGGGAGUAGCUCAAUUGGUAGAGUAUCGGUCUCCAAAACCGACGGUUGUGGGUUCGAGUCCCUCCUCCCCUGCCA
This 76-nucleotide transfer RNA is filed under the name candidate division WS2 bacterium ADurb.Bin280. RNAcentral describes it as "tRNA-Trp". It matches the Rfam family "tRNA". From Rfam's summary of the family: Transfer RNA (tRNA) molecules are approximately 80 nucleotides in length. The record is from RNAcentral.